This is a long non-coding RNA of Oryzias melastigma (Indian medaka), 1638 nucleotides long. RefSeq lists it as uncharacterized. Lineage: Eukaryota; Metazoa; Chordata; Actinopteri; Beloniformes; Adrianichthyidae. The record is from RefSeq and is a predicted model, not a curated record. The transcript has 3 exons.
AGAGAUAAUGCAGUAAAACAAAAAAAUGGGGGAAAUCCUAUUAUUUGGAGACUGAAAAACAAAUGACAAUUCAAAAACCUGAAUGGAGGACUGAAACGGCGAGCCCUGCCGGCAGACGCCCGCGUGAAAGUUAAACCCAGACUGCUUCGUCGAUUCGACCUCCAGGGUUGAGAACCGUUGGGGAAUUGCUGUGACUCCCGUCGCCGUCCACCCCUCCCUCCGUCUGGCUGGGCAGGUUGGGGUUCACCAGCGAGGUGCCGGUGGACGCGCUAGUGCAAGGCGGGAUCAUCCGGGACGGCGAGCGGUCCCCGCCCGGGACCAUGGAGAACUGGUGGAAGUCUGAAUCUGAAAAAAAAGGAGAAAACGGCUGAACGGCUGUCUGCCGUGGGGGUCUGGAAGACUAAAAAAAGACGAGAGAAAAAGAUGUUAAAAAAAGAGAGGAGGUGUGAGAGACGAGGCAGCGAGCAAAAAAGAGAGAAAAGGAGCCAAUCUGUGGUGGAGCCCUGCCAGCCGUCUGUGUGGUCCAUGCGUUCCCGCCCGGAGGAAGCUUGCCAGGCAAGGAAAAAGCGCACACACUUCCAUACACACUAGAGCUACACAACAACUCCCAAGGGCCGUGCAUUUAUUCAACGCAAACACACUUUCUACACAUUUGUACAAUACUGUACAAAGAGCAAACACACAGUUUGGCCUUUCAGACGGGCUUCCUCUGCACCUUUCUGCUCACAUUAAAGUGUUUUGAUCCAGAACAGAGCAAAUGUGAAAGAUGUUUUUGUCGCAACCAAAUCCAGACUUUGUCUCUUCAUCAUUAUCUCCCUUUAUGAUUCACUUGCAGCCUCUAUGGUCGUCUGUGCUCCUCUUUGUCUGGCCGUCCCUGUGAAUAAUUCUGUUAUGCAUUGUGGAGGCUUUGGCACCUCUUCAAGGAACUUCAUAAGACAUUCAAGUGACUGGCUGCCUUGGGAAAAGCCUUAAGUAUUUUUCUCGCUUGUCUCCCCUCCUUUUGAUUUCUUUUCCGCCUGAUGUUUUGGUGAGUUUUAUUUGUCCAGCUCCCAUUACCAAAGGCUGAGUCGAGUAGUUUUUUUUUGUGAAAUCCUACGUAAUUACACUAAUACCGAGUAAAUGUUUGUUCUAUUUUGGGACCAGUUACUGACGGAAAACGAUCAUAUGAAGGAAAUUCUUGGAAAUUAAAUGCCAUCCCCUCACUUUCAUGUUCAACCGUGUUAAGACAAACGGUUAAUGAAGCUUUAGGGUUUAAAAAACUCAAUCUGAGUCCAGUAAACAAAUAAUGGAUCCAUAAAAUAGAGGUCGAUCUUUUAAAAAAAGGAUCCUUUUCUUGGAACGUUACCCUACUCUCGCGAGAACCUCAGAGAUUUGAAACAAACAUGGUGGGAUAAAAAGUUUGGAAAAAACUAAAAAGAUCGAAAGCAAAUGUUGAAAUGUUUGUAAAACGAUGUGCAGAAAUCAAAAGAAUCGCAAAUUUACGACGAGUAUUUCGGCCACCAAGAAAGUAAUAUAACGAUAUUAAAAGUCAUAAAUUUGUGACUUUUAAUCUCGUAACAUUGCAAGUUUUUUUCUCGUGAAUUUACGACUUUCAAACAUGUAAAUUGACGCCUUUAAAUCUCAAAAAUUUACAAUAAA